GAUGUCCUACGGGGCGCAGCAGUGAGGAAUAUUGGUCAAUGGACGCAAGUCUGAACCAGCCAUGCCGCGUGCAGGAUGACGGCUCUAUGAGUUGUAAACUGCUUUUGUACGAGGGUAAACCCCGAUACGUGUAUCGGGUUGAAAGUAUCGUACGAAUAAGGAUCGGCUAACUCCGUGCCAGCAGCCGCGGUAAUACGGAGGAUCCGAGCGUUAUCCGGAUUUAUUGGGUUUAAAGGGUGCGUAGGCGGUUUGAUAAGAUAGAGGUGAAAUGUCGGGGCUCAACCUCGAAAAUGCCUCUAAUACUU
This 305-nucleotide ribosomal RNA is filed under the name uncultured bacterium. RNAcentral describes it as "bacterial SSU rRNA". It matches the Rfam family "Bacterial small subunit ribosomal RNA", at positions 333 to 635 of the family's 1533-position model. The record is from RNAcentral.